GAUGAACGCUGGCGGCGUGCCUAAUACAUGCAAGUCGAGCGAACGGACGAGAAGCUUGCUUCUCUGAUGUUAGCGGCGGACGGGUGAGUAACACGUGGAUAACCUACCUAUAAGACUGGGAUAACUUCGGGAAACCGGAGCUAAUACCGGAUGAUAUUUUGAACCGCAUGGUUCAAAAGUGAAAGACGGUCUUGCUGUCACUUAUAGAUGGAUCCGCGCUGCAUUAGCUAGUUGGUAAGGUAACGGCUUACCAAGGCAACGAUGCAUAGCCGACCUGAGAGGGUGAUCGGCCACACUGGAACUGAGACACGGUCCAGACUCCUACGGGAGGCAGCAGUAGGGAAUCUUCCGCAAUGGGCGAAAGCCUGACGGAGCAACGCCGAGUGAGUGAUGAAGGUCUUCGGAUCGUAAAACUCUGUUAUUAGGGAAGAACAUUUGUGUAAGUAACUGUGCACAUCUUGACGGUACCUAAUCAGAAAGCCACGGCUAACUACGUG
Molecule: ribosomal RNA, 497 nt
Filed under: uncultured bacterium
Lineage: Bacteria
Description: partial 16S ribosomal RNA
Rfam family: Bacterial small subunit ribosomal RNA
Source: RNAcentral